CUUUAUGCCGUGCAAUUCCAUCUAUUUGUCACCUGUUUCUUGUUCCUUAGUCGAGAGGGUUUUCGGCGAGCAUGCAUGAGAGCAAAGAAACAACCCUCAAUCUGUCUUCCCACUCACCCGUGUCUUAACUUGUCUCCCAUUCUAGUUGCCAUCAACCUCGGUCAUCCUUGUCGCCGGUACUUUGUGAAACUCAUUACCUUAGUUAGUUGCGCUUGGCUCAAUUACAUAUUGUUCACCAGCGAUGUUGUUGCCACUCGAAGGUCGGCGAGAUCUACUUGCUGCGCAAUAGCAGCUUCCACCAGAUUUAUUUAUAUUUGUGGACUCAAACGGUACAAGUGCUAUGCCUCUGCCAAGGCAUGAUUUGGGAGGACUCGAAGCUGAGGUUUCAUUUUUGUUUUAUUGUUAUUUGUUGAAUGUAAGCCCAGGCCUGUAUUUGUGUUGAGUUAAAACUUCAUUUUGUGUAACCAAGAAUGUUCUUGGAUAAAUUUGUAAGCCUGUAGGGCACUUAUUAUCUGUUUGGUUUCCA
Molecule: non-coding RNA, 526 nt
Organism: Camellia sinensis
Lineage: Eukaryota; Viridiplantae; Streptophyta; Magnoliopsida; Ericales; Theaceae
Source: RefSeq, a predicted model, not a curated record